GGGUCGCUAGCUCAGUGGUAGAGCAUCCGGCUUUUAACCGGCUGGUCCUGAGUUCGAAUCUCAGGCGACCCA
Molecule: transfer RNA, 72 nt
Organism: Prochlorococcus marinus str. NATL2A
Lineage: Bacteria; Bacillati; Cyanobacteriota; Cyanophyceae; Synechococcales; Prochlorococcaceae
Rfam family: tRNA
About the family: Transfer RNA (tRNA) molecules are approximately 80 nucleotides in length. Their secondary structure includes four short double-helical elements and three loops (D, anti-codon, and T loops).
Source: Rfam